UUGACGCGCGCCCAACGCCAUUUUGCUAAUGUCAGUGAACGUGAAAAAACCGGAGCGAAAUAUGCCAAAUUGAAGUGAAUUUACGUGUAAGAAGUGGUCAGAAACGUGGAAUGUAAUUAAGGAUAAUGUUACUUUUCAUCUAUUUCUAAAAGCUGCUGUGAUUCGGGAUGUUUGGAUUCGAUCUCCGAAUGCGAAUCAUGUUUCAUGGACUCCUAAACGGACUAGCACUAACUAGUGUUUCUGCGUUAAAAUAAAUGUAAAUAUUUGUAAAUAAAUGAUGUAAAUGAACGA
This is a long non-coding RNA of Colias croceus (clouded yellow), 291 nucleotides long. RefSeq lists it as uncharacterized. The transcript has 2 exons. NCBI's taxonomy places the organism in Eukaryota, Metazoa, Arthropoda, Insecta, Lepidoptera, Pieridae. The record is from RefSeq and is a predicted model, not a curated record.